RNAcentral lists this ribosomal RNA (253 nucleotides) under uncultured bacterium. Its description in RNAcentral is "partial 16S ribosomal RNA". It matches the Rfam family "Bacterial small subunit ribosomal RNA", at positions 524 to 776 of the family's 1533-position model. The record is from RNAcentral.
UACGUAGGGUGCAAGCGUUAAUCGGAAUUACUGGGCGUAAAGCGUGCGCAGGCGGCUCUGCAAGACAGAUGUGAAAUCCCCGGGCUUAACCUGGGAACUGCAUUUGUGACUGCAGGGCUAGAGUACGGUAGAGGGGGAUGGAAUUCCGCGUGUAGCAGUGAAAUGCGUAGAUAUGCGGAGGAACACCGAUGGCGAAGGCAAUCCCCUGGACCUGUACUGACGCUCAUGCACGAAAGCGUGGGGAGCAAACAGG